CCUAGCCUCCCCCCCCCCCUUUUUUUUAUUAUAUAUCUCCCCUUUUUUUUUUGCCCAGUGAACGGUCGAAGGAAUUUUUUUUUUUGGCUUGGGGGGGCCAUCCCCUAGAAGGGGGGUUAUUCACCCUUUUGGUGGGGUUCCAUUUCCCACGGAACUCUUGGGGACACCCCCGCCCAUAAGCAUCCCUCCGACUAAAUUGGAAUCUGUGAGCGCGUCCGGGCCCGGCCCUAGAGAAGGUGGGGCAAUCCACCACUUCAGGGCCCCGAUAGCUCUCCCAAACUCCGGUCAUUUAGACGGAAGUAACAGUCGUAACAAGGUCUCCCGUGGUGAACCAGCGGAGGGAUCAUUACCGAGUUUACAACUCCCCAAACCCCAAUGUGAACGUUACCAAUCUGUUGCCUCGGCGGGAUUCUCUUGCCCCGGGCGCGUCGCAGCCCCGGAUCCCAUGGCGCCCGCCGGAGGACCAACUCCAAACUCUUUUUUUCUCUCCGUCGCGGCUCCCGUCGCGGCUCUGUUUUAUUUUUGCUCUGAGCCUUUCUCGGCGACCCUAGCGGGCGUCUCGAAAAUGAAUCAAAACUUUCAACAACGGAUCUCUUGGUUCUGGCAUCGAUGAAGAACGCAGCGAAAUGCGAUAAGUAAUGUGAAUUGCAGAAUUCAGUGAAUCAUCGAAUCUUUGAACGCACAUUGCGCCCGCCAGUAUUCUGGCGGGCAUGCCUGUCCGAGCGUCAUUUCAACCCUCGAACCCCUCCGGGGGGUCGGCGUUGGGGAUCGGCCCCUCACCGGGCCGCCCCCGAAAUACAGUGGCGGUCUCGCCGCAGCCUCUCCUGCGCAGUAGUUUGCACACUCGCACCGGGAGCGCGGCGCGGCCACAGCCGUAAAACACCCCAAACUUCUGAAAUGUUGACCUCGGAUCAGGUAGGAAUACCCGCUGAACUUAAGCAUAUCAAUAAGCGGAGGAAAAGAAACCAACAGGGAUUGCCCCAGUAACGGCGAGUGAAGCGGCAACAGCUCAAAUUUGAAAUCUGGCCCUUACGGGUCCGAGUUGUAAUUUGUAGAGGAUGCUUUUGGCAAGGCGCCGCCCGAGUUCCCUGGAACGGGACGCCACAGAGGGUGAGAGCCCCGUCUGGCUGGCCGCCGAGCCUCGUAAGUCCUCGAUGC
Molecule: ribosomal RNA, 1158 nt
Filed under: Trichoderma viride
Lineage: Eukaryota; Fungi; Ascomycota; Sordariomycetes; Hypocreales; Hypocreaceae
Description: partial 18S ribosomal RNA
Rfam family: Eukaryotic large subunit ribosomal RNA (bases 902-1158)
Source: RNAcentral